Molecule: ribosomal RNA, 274 nt
Filed under: uncultured bacterium
Lineage: Bacteria
Description: partial 16S ribosomal RNA
Rfam family: Bacterial small subunit ribosomal RNA
Source: RNAcentral
AUACGUAGGUGGCAAGCGUUAUCCGGAAUUACUGGGCGUAAAGCGCACGCAGGCGGCCAGUCAAGUCUGACGUGAAAGCUCCUGGCUUAACUGGGAGAGGUCGUUGGAAACUGAUUGGCUUGAGGCAAUGAGAGGGACACGGAAUUCCCGGUGUAGUGGUGGAAUGCGUAGAUAUCGGGAGGAACACCAGUGGCGAAAGCGGUGUCCUGGCAUUGACCUGACGCUCAUGUGCGAAAGCGUGGGGAGCGAACGGGAUUAGAAACCCGGGUAGUCC